Molecule: long non-coding RNA, 311 nt
Filed under: Homo sapiens (human)
Lineage: Eukaryota; Metazoa; Chordata; Mammalia; Primates; Hominidae
Description: non-protein coding lnc-TAS2R1-7:1
Source: RNAcentral
AAGCAUGGAAAUACCUGUUCCUGUCCCGUGCUUGUGAAGAAGAAGGGGGUGGUGGUGGUGGUGGUGUGCUUGAGUCUUCUCUCUGCUCACUUAGAAAGUGAAAGAAUCCAUUCUUGAACCUACAGAUGAAAGGGAGGUGCUGUUUCAUGUGCAGAGCUCCUGCUGGGAUUCUCAGUCUCUAAGGUUCUCACCUAAUGUACAUCUGCCCUCCCUGUGUUGUUUUUUUAUAUUUAGAACCAAUAAAGUUCUUGCACAGCUACAGUUGUUGGCCUGCACUGCUAUCAAGGGUCUCUCUCUUUCUCCCUCUCCAC